AUUGAACGCUGGCGGCAUGCUUUACACAUGCAAGUCGAACGGUAACAGGCCGCAAGGUGCUGACGAGUGGCGAACGGGUGAGUAAUGCAUCGGAACGUGCCCAGUCGUGGGGGAUAACUACUCGAAAGAGUAGCUAAUACCGCAUACGAUCUAUGGAUGAAAGCGGGGGACCGUAAGGCCUCGCGCGAUUGGAGCGGCCGAUGUCAGAUUAGGUAGUUGGUGGGGUAAAGGCUCACCAAGCCAACGAUCUGUAGCUGGUCUGAGAGGACGACCAGCCACACUGGGACUGAGACACGGCCCAGACUCCUACGGGAGGCAGCAGUGGGGAAUUUUGGACAAUGGGCGCAAGCCUGAUCCAGCAAUGCCGCGUGCAGGAAGAAGGCCUUCGGGUUGUAAACUGCUUUUGUACGGAACGAAACGGCUCUGGUCAAUACCCGGGGCUAAUGACGGUACCGUAAGAAUAAGCACCGGCUAACUACGUG
Molecule: ribosomal RNA, 482 nt
Filed under: uncultured bacterium
Lineage: Bacteria
Description: partial 16S ribosomal RNA
Rfam family: Bacterial small subunit ribosomal RNA
Source: RNAcentral